CCUACGGGGGGCAGCAGUGGGGAAUAUUGCACAAUGGGGGAAACCCUGAUGCAGCGACGCCGCGUGAGUGAAGAAGUAUUUCGGUAUGUAAAGCUCUAUCAGCAGGGAAGAAAAAAGACGGUACCUGACUAAGAAGCCCCGGCUAACUACGUGCCAGCAGCCGCGGUAAUACGUAGGGGGCAAGCGUUAUCCGGAUUUACUGGGUGUAAAGGGAGCGUAGACGGAGAAGCAAGUCUGAAGUGAAAGCCCGUGGCUUAACCACGGGACUGCUUUGGAAACUGUUUGACUAGAGUGCUGGAGAGGUA
RNAcentral lists this ribosomal RNA (305 nucleotides) under uncultured bacterium. RNAcentral's name for it is "bacterial SSU rRNA". It matches the Rfam family "Bacterial small subunit ribosomal RNA", at positions 338 to 659 of the family's 1533-position model. The record is from RNAcentral.